This 1542-nucleotide ribosomal RNA is filed under the name Marinomonas blandensis. RNAcentral describes it as "bacterial SSU rRNA". It matches the Rfam family "Bacterial small subunit ribosomal RNA". The record is from RNAcentral. Lineage: Bacteria; Pseudomonadati; Pseudomonadota; Gammaproteobacteria; Oceanospirillales; Oceanospirillaceae.
AAACUGAAGAGUUUGAUCAUGGCUCAGAUUGAACGCUGGCGGUAGGCUUAACACAUGCAAGUCGAGCGGAAACGAUGUAGCUUGCUACAGGCGUCGAGCGGCGGACGGGUGAGUAACGCGUAGGAAUCUGCCUAGUAGUGGGGGACAACCUGUGGAAACGCAGGCUAAUACCGCAUAAGCCCUUAGGGGGAAAGGGGGGGAUCUUCGGACCUUUCGCUAUUAGAUGAGCCUGCGUGAGAUUAGCUAGUUGGUGAGGUAAAGGCUCCCCAAGGCGACGAUCUCUAGCUGGUCUGAGAGGAUGAUCAGCCACACUGGGACUGAGACACGGCCCAGACUCCUACGGGGGGCAGCAGUGGGGAAUAUUGGACAAUGGGCGCAAGCCUGAUCCAGCCAUACCGCGUGUGUGAAGAAGGCCCUAGGGUUGUAAAGCACUUUCAGAAGGGGGGAAAGGGUGUUGCUUAAUACGUAAUAUCUGUGACGUUACCUUCAGAAGAAGCCCCGGCUAACUCUGUGCCAGCAGCCGCGGUAAUACAGAGGGUGCAAGCGUUAAUCGGAAUUACUGGGCGUAAAGCGCGCGUAGGUGGUUUGUUAAGUCGGAUGUGAAAGCCCAGGGCUCAACCUUGGAAUUGCACCCGAUACUGGCAGGCUAGAGUACGAUAGAGGGGUGUGGAAUUUCCUGUGUAGCGGUGAAAUGCGUAGAUAUAGGAAGGAACAUCAGUGGCGAAGGCGACACUCUGGAUUGAUACUGACACUGAGGUGCGAAAGCGUGGGGGGCAAACAGGAUUAGAUACCCUGGUAGUCCACCCCGUAAACGAUGUCUACUAGCCGUUGGGUUGUAAUGACUUAGUGGCGAAGCUAACGCGAUAAGUAGACCCCCUGGGGGGUACGGCCGCAAGGUUAAAACUCAAAUGAAUUGACGGGGGCCCGCACAAGCGGUGGGGCAUGUGGUUUAAUUCGAAGCAACGCGAAGAACCUUACCUACUCUUGACAUCCAUAGAAUUUGGCAGAGAUGCCUUAGUGCCUUCGGGAACUAUGAGACAGGUGCUGCAUGGCUGUCGUCAGCUCGUGUUGUGAAAUGUUGGGUUAAGUCCCGUAACGAGCGCAACCCUUGUCCUUAUUUGCCAGCGAGUAAUGUCGGGAACUUUAAGGGGACUGCCGGUGACAAACCGGGGGAAGGUGGGGACGACGUCAAGUCAUCAUGGCCCUUACGAGUAGGGCUACACACGUGCUACAAUGGCGCAUACAGAGGGCUGCGAACUUGCGAGAGUAAGCGAAUCCCAUAAAGUGCGUCGUAGUCCGGAUUGGGGUCUGCAACUCGACUCCAUGAAGUCGGAAUCGCUAGUAAUCGUGAAUCAGAAUGUCACGGUGAAUACGUUCCCGGGCCUUGUACACCCCCCCCGUCACCCCAUGGGGGUUGAUUGCUCCAGAAGUAGCUAGCUUAACCCUUCGGGGGGGGCGGUUACCACGGGGUGGUCAAUGACUGGGGUGAAGUCGUAACAAGGUAGCCCUAGGGGAACCUGGGGCUGGAUCCCCUCCUUAAAA